CAGCCGCGCGGUAAUACGUAGGGUGCAAGCGUUAAUCGGAAUUACUGGGCGUAAAGCGUGCGCAGGCGGUUAUAUAAGACAGAUGUGAAAUCCCCGGGCUCAACCUGGGAACUGCAUUUGUGACUGUAUAGCUAGAGUACGGCAGAGGGGGAUGGAAUUCCGCGUGUAGCAAUGAAAUGCGUAGAUAUGCGGAGGAACACCGAUGGCGAAGGCAAUCCCCUGGGCCUGUACUGACGCUCAUGCACGAAAGCGUGGGGAGCAAACAGGAUUAGAUACCCCCGUAGUCCCUGUCUCUUAUACC
Molecule: ribosomal RNA, 301 nt
Filed under: uncultured bacterium
Lineage: Bacteria
Description: partial 16S ribosomal RNA
Rfam family: Bacterial small subunit ribosomal RNA
Source: RNAcentral